RNAcentral lists this ribosomal RNA (459 nucleotides) under uncultured bacterium. RNAcentral describes it as "SSU rRNA". It matches the Rfam family "Bacterial small subunit ribosomal RNA", at positions 26 to 518 of the family's 1533-position model. The record is from RNAcentral.
AGAAUCAACGCUGGCGGCGUGCCUAACACAUGCAAGUCGAACGAGAAAGGGACUUCGGUCCUGAGUACAGUGGCGCACGGGUGAGUAACACGUGACUAACCUACCCUGGAGUGGGGAAUAACUGAGGGAAACCUUAGCUAAUACCGCAUAAUACCUACGGGUCAAAGGAGCAAUUCGCUUCAGGAGGGGGUCGCGGCCGAUUAGCUAGUUGGCGGGGUAAUGGCCCACCAAGGCAAUGAUCGGUAUCCGGCCUGAGAGGGCGCACGGACACACUGGAACUGAAACACGGUCCAGACUCCUACGGGAGGCAGCAGUGGGGAAUUUGCGCAAUGGGGGAAACCCUGACGCAGCAACGCCGCGUGGAGGAUGAAAUCCCUUGGGAUGUAAACUCCUUUCGAUCGGGACGAUUAUGACGGUACCGGAAGAAGAAGCCCCGGCUAACUUCGCGCCAGCAGCCGC